This 75-nucleotide transfer RNA is filed under the name Rhizobiaceae bacterium. RNAcentral's name for it is "tRNA-Thr". It matches the Rfam family "tRNA". From Rfam's summary of the family: Transfer RNA (tRNA) molecules are approximately 80 nucleotides in length. Their secondary structure includes four short double-helical elements and three loops (D, anti-codon, and T loops). Lineage: Bacteria; Pseudomonadati; Pseudomonadota; Alphaproteobacteria; Hyphomicrobiales; Rhizobiaceae. The record is from RNAcentral.
GCUGUCGUAGCUCAGCGGUAGAGCACUUCAUUGGUAAUGAAGAGGUCCCGAGUUCGAUCCUCGGCGACAGCACCA